GGUGAACGCUGGCGGCGUGCUUAACACAUGCCAGUCGAACGGUGAAGGCGGAGCUUGCUCUGCUGGAUCAGUGGCGAACGGGUGAGUAACACGUGAGCAAUCUGCCCCUGACUCUGGGAUAAGCGCUGGAAACGGCGUCUAAUACUGGAUACGAGCUGCGAAGGCAUCUUCAGCAGCUGGAAAGAAUUUCGGUCAGGGAUGAGCUCGCGGCCUAUCAGCUUGUUGGUGAGGUAAUGGCUCACCAAGGCGUCGACGGGUAGCCGGCCUGAGAGGGUGACCGGCCACACUGGGACUGAGACACGGCCCAGACUCCUACGGGAGGCAGCAGUGGGGAAUAUUGCACAAUGGGCGAAAGCCUGAUGCAGCAACGCCGCGUGAGGGACGACGGCCUUCGGGUUGUAAACCUCUUUUAGCAGGGAAGAAGCGAAAGUGACGGUACCUGCAGAAAAAGCGCCGGCUAACUACGUG
This 468-nucleotide ribosomal RNA is filed under the name uncultured bacterium. Its description in RNAcentral is "partial 16S ribosomal RNA". It matches the Rfam family "Bacterial small subunit ribosomal RNA", at positions 28 to 507 of the family's 1533-position model. The record is from RNAcentral.